Molecule: ribosomal RNA, 495 nt
Filed under: uncultured bacterium
Lineage: Bacteria
Description: partial 16S ribosomal RNA
Rfam family: Bacterial small subunit ribosomal RNA
Source: RNAcentral
GACGAACGCUGGCGGCGUGCCUAAUACAUGCCAGUAGAACGCUGAAGGAGGAGCUUGCUCUUCUGGAUGAGUUGCGAACGGGUGAGUAACGCGUAGGUAACCUGCCUGGUAGCGGGGGAUAACUAUUGGAAACGAUAGCUAAUACCGCAUAACAGUAGAUGUUGCAUGACAUUUGCUUAAAAGGUGCAAUUGCAUCACUACCAGAUGGACCUGCGUUGUAUUAGCUAGUUGGUGGGGUAACGGCUCACCAAGGCGACGAUACAUAGCCGACCUGAGAGGGUGAUCGGCCACACUGGGACUGAGACACGGCCCAGACUCCUACGGGAGGCAGCAGUAGGGAAUCUUCGGCAAUGGACGGAAGUCUGACCGAGCAACGCCGCGUGAGUGAAGAAGGUUUUCGGACCGUAAAGCUCUGUUGUAAGAGAAGAACGAGUGUGAGAGUGGAAAGUUCACACUGUGACGGUAUCUUACCAGAAAGGGACGGCUAACUACGUG